UACGUAGGGUGCGAGCGUUGUCCGGAAUUAUUGGGCGUAAAGAGCUCGUAGGCGGUGUGUCGCGUCGGCCGUGAAAACCUGCAGCUUAACUGUGGGCUUGCGGUCGAUACGGGCAUCACUGGAGUUCGGCAGGGGAGACUGGAAUUCCUGGUGUAGCGGUGAGAUGCGCAGAUAUCAGGAGGAACACCGGUGGCGAAGGCGGGUCUCUGGGCCGAUACUGACGCUGAGGAGCGAAAGCGUGGGGAGCGAACAGG
Molecule: ribosomal RNA, 254 nt
Filed under: uncultured bacterium
Lineage: Bacteria
Description: partial 16S ribosomal RNA
Rfam family: Bacterial small subunit ribosomal RNA
Source: RNAcentral